Molecule: small RNA, 548 nt
Filed under: Pan troglodytes (chimpanzee)
Lineage: Eukaryota; Metazoa; Chordata; Mammalia; Primates; Hominidae
Description: processed transcript
Source: RNAcentral
AAUUUUCUUUCAGGCACCUCCGCUGAGCUUUUAAACCAAGUCAUUGGGACUUAGCGUCUUUCUACCUGGCAGAGAAGGGAGGAGUUGGCAAGAAUUUGGCUCACCCAUUCCCCCUGCAAUCCUCCAGCGUCGCGGAGCACUAGACAUCUACCAUGACUGACACCGUGUUCAGCAACAGUUCUAACCGUUGGAUGUACCCCAGUGACCGGCCCCUUCAAUCAAAAACAGCUCCAGGCAGGCUGGUCCGUCCACCCCGGUGGUCAGCCUGACAGGCAGAGGAAGCAGGAAGAGCUGACUGAUGAAGAGAAAGAAAUCAUCAACAGGGUGAUUGCUCGAGCUGAGAAAAUGGAAGAGAUGGAGCAGGAGCGAAUCGGACGCCUGGUGGACCGCCUAGAAAACAUGAGGAAGAACGUGGCUGGGGAUGGGGUGAACCGCUGCAUACUGUGUGGAGAACAGCUGGGGAUGCUGGGCUCUGCCUGUGUAGUAUGUGAGGACUGUAAGAAGGUAUCAUCAUCCUCUUCUCCCUUCUUCCCUGUGCAGCACCUGCA